UGCGUAGGUGGUGAGGUAAGUCGGAUGUGAAAGCUCCGAGCUCAACUCGGAAAUGGCAUUGGAAACUACCUUGCUAGAGGGUUUGAGGGGGGACUGGAAUACUUGGUGUGGCAGUGAAAUGCGUAGAUAUCAAGUGGAACACCAGUGGCGAAGGCGAGUCCCUGGAAAACUCCUGACACUGAGGCACGAAAGCUGGGAGCAAACA
Molecule: ribosomal RNA, 205 nt
Filed under: uncultured bacterium
Lineage: Bacteria
Description: partial 16S ribosomal RNA
Rfam family: Bacterial small subunit ribosomal RNA
Source: RNAcentral